Molecule: ribosomal RNA, 274 nt
Filed under: uncultured bacterium
Lineage: Bacteria
Description: partial 16S ribosomal RNA
Rfam family: Bacterial small subunit ribosomal RNA
Source: RNAcentral
AUACGGAGGGUGCGAGCGUUAAUCGGAAUUACUGGGCGUAAAGCGCGCGUAGGCGGUUUGUUAAGUCGGAUGUGAAAUCCCCGGGCUCAACCUGGGACCUGCAUCCGAUACUGGCAGGCUAGAGUCUGGUAGAGGGGGGUAGAAUUCCUGGUGUAGCGGUGAAAUGCGUAGAUAUCAGGAGGAAUACCAGUGGCGAAGGCGGCCCCCUGGACUGAGACUGACGCUGAGGUGCGAAAGCGUGGGGAGCAAACAGGAUUAGAUACCCUAGUAGUCC